CCUACGGGUGACAGCAGUCGAGAAUCAUUCACAAUGGGGGAAACCCUGAUGGUGCGACGCCGCGUGGGGGAAUGAAGGUCUUCGGAUUGUAAACCCCUGUCAUGUGGGAGCAAAUUAAAAAGAUAGUACCACAAGAGGAAGAGACGGCUAACUCUGUGCCAGCAGCCGCGGUAAUACAGAGGUCUCAAGCGUUGUUCGGAAUCACUGGGCGUAAGGCGUGCGUAGGCUGUUUCGUAAGUCGUGUGUGAAAGGCGCGGGCUCAACCCGCGGACGGCACAUGAUACUGCGAGACUAGAGUAAUGGAGGGGGAACCGGAAUUCUCGGUGUAGCAGUGAAAUGCGUAGAUAUCGAGAGGAACACUCGUGGCGAAGGCGAGUUCCUGGACAUUAACUGACGCUGAGGCACGAAGGCCAGGGGAGCGAAAGGGAUUAGAUACCCCUGUAGUC
RNAcentral lists this ribosomal RNA (446 nucleotides) under uncultured bacterium. Its description in RNAcentral is "partial 16S ribosomal RNA". It matches the Rfam family "Bacterial small subunit ribosomal RNA", at positions 338 to 795 of the family's 1533-position model. The record is from RNAcentral.